CUCUCUGAAUAUAUCAGCAGAACCGUUUCUUUAACAGUGGCGUUGGUGCACAUCUACUAACUCCAUUGUUGUCACCUUUUUCCAAAUGCAGCUGUGAAAUCUGUCACCACAAACCUGCCGAGGAAAGAAAACAUAUUGUUCAGUUCAAACAGUCAAGGAAUUCAGAAAUAUUUUUCCUCAGAUACAGACCUGUAUACAGACCUGUACAGACGUAAUUCAGUGGUCCUUCUUGAUAUGUAAGGUGUAGUAGGACCAGGGUUCUGGCACAUAUACCAGUCCGGGGUACUUGUUUCGUAGCACCGGAUCAUCCCACAGAAAGGCCACCCACAGACCCACCAGCAGCACGGUGACAGUGAAACUGUAGAACAGGAACAGGCCGUUGCUGUCCAAGCUGAGGCCUUUGCGCCUUUGAUAUAUCCCCAUGAGAACCAUGGCAACAAAGGUGAGGAGGAAAAGUUCUGUGAUCUGUCCCUCAGUGACCAGGUACCUUUGAGAAAGUUAAAGGAAAGGCAUUGAUGUCAUGAACAGAGAUAACUUUUGUUAGUGGCUCAGAAAGACUGAAACUUUUGACGACACAUUAAAGCAGCAUAUUUUUAGACGCCCAUUCACAAUAAAAACUUGUUUGACUUCACAUAAAAGGUCCUCCUUUUCCAUAAAAGCAUCUUUGUUAUUCUGCCAUCAGUGCUGCUCUGCUUUAUUUGAAUUUCUGCAAAAAGUGAAGGUGGAAAUAUAGAGCUUGUUUGAUGUUAACAAACAAAUGUGCGCCGUGCUAUUCUUCUUCGUCAAUAUGAAAUGCAAUUUUUUUUUUACACACUGAAUAGAUCCAGCAAGUGAACAAAGUUGUUUUAACAGGUUCUGUCUAACUUUAAUGUGACACAUUUUUACUGUCAGUCAUUUUACAAAGGAAGAAAAAGAUUGGUCUAAAUGAUACUCCCUCACAGUCAUACCUCUAUAAAGUUCCCCACAAGUAGUUUAUUUAAAAGUGAAAGACAGAUUCAACUGGGUGAAUUAAAAUGAGCUUGUUAGAGUUAAUCGAGUAAUGUUAAACCUCACAUCUUCAAUUUUUUUGCUAACUCAAUUUUAUUGUCAAUUUGAUGUUUUUUCAUCCCCAUGUUCUUCACACCACUGAGUGCUGCUUCUGAUGCUCUGCCUGCUGAGUACCAUGCGCUGUUUAUGGAUUACAAUUAACUUGAAAUCAUCACAAAGUAAACGUCUAAAUAUUCAUGAGGAAACCACACACAAGGCUUUCAAUGAAGUAAGAAUCAGACUGACCAAUAGUAGAGAGAGCUUGGACCCAGCAACAGCCAACCAGAGACGGGAAUCUUCUUCUGCUUUUCAGCCUUGGUGAAGCAGCCGGUGAAGUAGAGGAACAGUAUGAUGAAGAAAGGGAUGUACCUGGAAUAGAGAGGAUGCACAGAUGGUACAGUGCACAAGGACAGGUGAAGAAGGACAGCACAUGUGGGGAGAAGAGAGUGAGGGGAGACAUGCAGCAAAUGGCCGGGGAGUAAAACCAGCAACCGCUGGAACGAGGAAUACA
This is a long non-coding RNA of Notolabrus celidotus (New Zealand spotty), 1537 nucleotides long. RefSeq lists it as uncharacterized. The transcript has 3 exons. The record is from RefSeq and is a predicted model, not a curated record. Lineage: Eukaryota; Metazoa; Chordata; Actinopteri; Labriformes; Labridae.